Molecule: transfer RNA, 71 nt
Filed under: Marmota monax (woodchuck)
Lineage: Eukaryota; Metazoa; Chordata; Mammalia; Rodentia; Sciuridae
Description: tRNA.Ala
Rfam family: tRNA (bases 6-66)
About the family: Transfer RNA (tRNA) molecules are approximately 80 nucleotides in length. Their secondary structure includes four short double-helical elements and three loops (D, anti-codon, and T loops).
Source: RNAcentral
GAGGUUGUGGCUCAGUGGCAGAGUGCUUGCCUAGCACGUAAGAGUCACUGGGUUCAAUUCUCAGCAUUGCA